RNAcentral lists this ribosomal RNA (460 nucleotides) under uncultured bacterium. Its description in RNAcentral is "partial 16S ribosomal RNA". It matches the Rfam family "Bacterial small subunit ribosomal RNA", at positions 338 to 795 of the family's 1533-position model. The record is from RNAcentral.
CCUACGGUGGGCAGCAGUGAGGAAUAUUGGUCAAUGGACGGAAGUCUGAACCAGCCAUGCCGCGUGCAGGAAGACGGCUCUAUGAGUUGUAAACUGCUUUUGUACAAGGGUAAACCUGAAUACGUGUAUUCAGCUGAAAGUACUGUACGAAUAAGGCUCGGCUACCUCCGUGCCAGCAGCCGCGGUAAUCCGGAGGAUCCAAGCGUUCUCCGGAUUUGUUGGGUUUAACGGGUGCGUAGGCGGAUUGAUAAGUUAGAGGUGAAAUGUCCGAGCGUAACGCGGGAAGUGCUGCUAAUACUGUUGAGCGAGAGAGUAGAAGCAGUAGGCGGAAUGUAUGGUGUAGCGGUGAAAUGCUUAGAGAUCAUACAGAACACCGAUUGCGAAGGCAGCUUACCAAUCUAUAUCUGACGUUGAGGCACGAAAGCGUGGGGAGCAAACAGGAUUAGAUACCCCAGUAGUC